UGUAUGGUCUCGUUCCACAAUCGGUGUCCCCAUUGUCCUGGUAAUUUACUGUUUUUUACAGAAUUACUUCCUGCCAGAGUACUUGAACCUAAGUAAAUCUCAUGGUUCUGCUAGUUACUGCUUUACCAAGAUGGCUGCAGAUAUUUUGAAGCCCCUGUCUAAAUGAAUGGAUAGAAGUUAUACUGGUGCCUGUGUGAAGUUACACAACAUUACGGUUUAAUUUAUGACUCAAUCCAACAAUCAACAUCUCAGGCUCCUCCCAUCAAACAAAUACAAAGAGCCAGCCACAUAAAAGUGAGAUACAAUAACACAAAACAGUUAGAGUUUCAACACAAUAAAUGCUUUAUUACUCUGUGAAAGAACACGUCACACUGCCAGCACAUAAAUGUUGCGUAGUCUCAGACACUCUCCGUCUCACUGAGGAGCUACAGCAACAGCCAAUUGGACCCUACUUACAGAUAACCACUACAAGAUGCCAGACACAACGCCCAGGGUGGAUACAAAAAGCAAAGGCAACAACACAACAAACACACAAUUAGCAGGUGACAGGACACACAACCAGCUCGUCCCAAAACCCCCAGAAGAAAAACAUCCUUCAAGUUUCAACAUUUUAUAAUCAACCUGGCCAACAUGCUGAAAGCAUGUGAUCCUCGUGAAAUAUAUUCUCUCUGUAUAAGCAGCUUUAGGGGGUCGUAUUAAAUAUGGGGCUCAAAGUGCAGUACAAGGUAAAGGUGACAAAAGCCGGAUUUCAGCCAAGCUGUGUUUACACAACAUUUGCUCAGCUACAUAUCUUCAAGUAAUAAAAUUAGAUAUAGCUACUCUUUAGGAGAUAAAAUCUAAAUACUUAUACAGUACAUAAUGAACAGGGUCCAUAUAUGUGUGUUUACUUAUAUAAUACUUUUAGGGAUCUAUAAAAUAAAAUAUUAGCGCUGCUAGGAAGUUCACACUACUUAAUAAAAUCUCAAAUCCCAUGACCCAUAAUAUAGAAUCCCUUCUGAAAAGUGCCGUGACUUUACCAUUCAAUAGAGCUUUUAAAAUAACCUAUCUUUUAUAAUCUACCUUAACGUAUUUGCAGUCAGUCAGCAGCUGAUCAGUCAGUGAGUGAGUAGCCGUCACUGUUUUGUGAAGCUGUUGUCCUGUUGAAGUGAAGCUCUGCGUGUGGAAGUGAGGCGGUUCAGAUGGCCGUUGAGGUGUUGCUGUCUUUGGGUCGGACCCGCGACC
Molecule: long non-coding RNA, 1221 nt
Organism: Astatotilapia calliptera (eastern happy)
Lineage: Eukaryota; Metazoa; Chordata; Actinopteri; Cichliformes; Cichlidae
Source: Ensembl